This 131-nucleotide small nucleolar RNA is filed under the name Pelodiscus sinensis (Chinese soft-shelled turtle). RNAcentral's name for it is "Small nucleolar RNA SNORA22 (ENSPSIG00000019765.1)". The record is from RNAcentral. Lineage: Eukaryota; Metazoa; Chordata; Testudines; Trionychidae.
UUGCACAGUGAAUACCCAAGUAAACUUCAUAGUUCCCUCAAUGUAACUCUGCUAGAAUAAUUUUGUGCUAUAACUCUGUAUUGGAAGGAAUCCUUUUCCUUUCACCCUACAUUCAUAAGACCUAUAUGCCU